CGGUGCCAGCAGCCGCGGUAAUACAGAGAGUGCAAGCGUUAAUCGGAAUCACUGGGCGUAAAGCGCACGUAGGUGGAUAUUUAAGUCGAAUGUGAAAGCCCCAGGCUUAACCUGGGAAUUGCACCCGAUACUGGGUAUCUCGAGUAUGGUAGAGGGAAGUGGAAUUUCCGGUGUAGCGGUGAAAUGCGUAGAUAUCGGAAAGAACACCAGUGGCGAAGGCGGCUUCCUGGACCAAUACUGACACUGAGGUGCGAAAGCGUGGGGAGCAAACAGGAUUAGAAACCCUUGUAGUCCCA
This 296-nucleotide ribosomal RNA is filed under the name uncultured Coxiella sp. RNAcentral describes it as "partial 16S ribosomal RNA". It matches the Rfam family "Bacterial small subunit ribosomal RNA", at positions 503 to 797 of the family's 1533-position model. Lineage: Bacteria; Pseudomonadati; Pseudomonadota; Gammaproteobacteria; Legionellales; Coxiellaceae. The record is from RNAcentral.